GAGUGAAGAGGGAAGAGCUCAUCAUUGGAAUCUGGCAGUGUUGCACUGUCCGAGUUGUAGAUGAGGAGUAGUCCGUCUGGACUGCAUGGCGUCCAAGUACAAUAGGCCGUCAGUGGGACAUCAUAGAGGGUGACAAUCCCGUCCUUGACGCUAAUGUGCAAGUCUAUUACGAUGGCUAUCUCAGAGAGUCGAGCAGUUUGGGAUUUGCUGCUUAAACAUGGGAGGUAGAUUCCUUCUAAAGCUAAAUACAGGCGAGAGACCGAUAGAGAACAAGUACCGCAAGGGAAAGAUGAAAUAGCACUCUGUGAAGGGAGUCAAAAGGCGUGAAAUUGUUGCGAGAGAAGCGAUUCAAGUCAGCGUAGCUAGGCCCAUCAAGCGUCUUCGCUUUGGACUAGCUUUGCCAGCGGUCUUGUCCCUUAAAGAGACUUGACUUGUAAUAUGUCCAGCCUGGCGUGCACAGGCAGCCCCUUCUGGGGGCCAGUGGCAUGGCUGGUGGAAUGGCUUGCAAUCGACCCG
This 516-nucleotide ribosomal RNA is filed under the name Cantharellus pallens. RNAcentral describes it as "eukaryotic LSU rRNA". It matches the Rfam family "Eukaryotic large subunit ribosomal RNA", at positions 91 to 651 of the family's 3401-position model. Lineage: Eukaryota; Fungi; Basidiomycota; Agaricomycetes; Cantharellales; Hydnaceae. The record is from RNAcentral.